This 467-nucleotide ribosomal RNA is filed under the name uncultured bacterium. Its description in RNAcentral is "partial 16S ribosomal RNA". It matches the Rfam family "Bacterial small subunit ribosomal RNA", at positions 29 to 506 of the family's 1533-position model. The record is from RNAcentral.
AACGAACGCUGGCGGCGUGCUUAACACAUGCAAGUCGAACGGAAAGGCCCUGCUUUUGUGGGGUGCUCUAGUGGCGAACGGGUGAGUAACACGUGAGUAACCUGCCCUUGACUUUGGGAUAACUUCAGGAAACUUGGUCUCAUACCGGAUAGGAGCUCCUGCUGCAUGGUGGGGGUUGGAAAGUUUCGCCGGUUGGGGUUGGACGGGCGUCUUAUCAGCUUGUUGGUGGGGUAGUGUCUUACCAAGGCUUUGACGGGUAGCCGGCCUGAGAGGGAGAACGGCCAGAUUGGGAGUGAGAGACGGACCAGACUCAUACGGGAGGGAGGAGUGAGGAAUAAUGAACAAUGGGCGGAAGACAGAUGCAGCAACGAAGGGUGCGGGAUGGAGGCAUUCGGGUGGUAAACAGCGUUCGUCUGUGACGAAGCGUGAGUGAAGGUAAUGGGGAAAGAAGCACCGGCUAACUACGU